GCCGAUGUAGCUCAGUGGUAGAGCAACGGUUUCGUAAACCGUAGGUCGGCGGAUCAUUCCCGCCCAUCGGCU
RNAcentral lists this transfer RNA (72 nucleotides) under Kofleriaceae bacterium. RNAcentral's name for it is "tRNA-Thr". It matches the Rfam family "tRNA". From Rfam's summary of the family: Transfer RNA (tRNA) molecules are approximately 80 nucleotides in length. Their secondary structure includes four short double-helical elements and three loops (D, anti-codon, and T loops). Further hydrogen bonds mediate the characteristic L-shaped molecular structure. tRNAs have two regions of fundamental functional importance: the anti-codon, which is responsible for specific mRNA codon recognition, and the 3' end, to which the tRNAs corresponding amino acid is attached (by aminoacyl-tRNA synthetases). tRNAs cope with the degeneracy of the genetic code in two manners: having more than one tRNA (with a specific anti-codon) for a particular amino acid; and 'wobble' base-pairing, i.e. permitting non-standard base-pairing at the 3rd anti-codon position. The record is from RNAcentral. Lineage: Bacteria; Pseudomonadati; Myxococcota; Haliangiales; Kofleriaceae.